Molecule: long non-coding RNA, 622 nt
Organism: Prionailurus viverrinus (fishing cat)
Lineage: Eukaryota; Metazoa; Chordata; Mammalia; Carnivora; Felidae
Exons: 4
Source: RefSeq, a predicted model, not a curated record
CCCCGCCCGCAUUCCUUUCACUUUAACUGCGCAUCCGUGAACUGUUUACCUCCUUUCCCCCCAAAAAGAGAGGUGGAAGAAAAACAUUAUUUUGAGCACUGUAAUCAAAGACCUGUACGAUCUUUUUAAAUCCUCUCAACUUCAUUGCAGUUCCAUGGUGGAGAUUAUUCCCACCUUACAGAUAAAGCAACUGAGGAUCAGAAGUAAUAAGUAACUCAUUCAAGGGUGAGUGGAGUUUGAAUACUGGGAAAGCAGAUUUCUCUCACUUCAAAUUAAUACUACUUUACCUUAUUCAACGUAUUUAACACCCAAAACGUGUGGGAUACAACCAGCAUCAAAGAUUUUCAGAAAAAAAGCCUGGCCACUUUUUGGGAAUUGAACACCUGUAGUAGUGUCCUCUCCUUCAUGUACCUCACAGUGUUUCAAUGCAGUUCACUUGCUGCGCCAGCUGGCCCGUACCACACAAGGGACUCUCUCGGGUUGUCUGCUGUGCUAUCAUCUUUCUCAUGAGCACCUGCUGGGGUCCACGGAAAAGAGCCUGGGAGAUGUGGAAAGUCUUCCAGGACUGAUUUGAAAAUAGCUGAAAUAUAUCCUGAAGAAUUUUCAACUUUUGCAAAAUUCA